UACGGGGGGGGCAAGCGUUGUUCGGAAUUACUGGGCGUAAAGGGCUCGUAGGUGGCCAACUAAGUCAUACGUGAAAUCCCUCGGCUUAACCGGGGAACUGCGUCUGAUACUGGAUGGCUUGAGGUUGGGAGAGGGAUGCGGAAUUCCAGGUGUAGCGGUGAGAUGCGUAGAUAUCUGGAGGAACACCGGUGGCGAAGGCGGCAUCCUGGACCAAUUCUGACACUGAGGAGCGAAAGCCAGGGGAGCAAACGGG
Molecule: ribosomal RNA, 253 nt
Filed under: uncultured bacterium
Lineage: Bacteria
Description: partial 16S ribosomal RNA
Rfam family: Bacterial small subunit ribosomal RNA
Source: RNAcentral